UAUUUUAAUAGCUUAUUUUAAAGUGUAAUAUUGAAGAUAUUAAGAAGGCAUUAGUCUUAAAAUAUU
This 66-nucleotide transfer RNA is filed under the name Cautires indus. Its description in RNAcentral is "tRNA-Phe". Lineage: Eukaryota; Metazoa; Arthropoda; Insecta; Coleoptera; Lycidae. The record is from RNAcentral.